GCACUGUUAGCUCAGCUGGAUAGAGCACAUGACUACGAAUCAUGGGGUCGGGGGUUCGAAUCCCUCACAGUGCACCA
This 77-nucleotide transfer RNA is filed under the name Caminicella sporogenes. RNAcentral describes it as "tRNA-Arg". It matches the Rfam family "tRNA". From Rfam's summary of the family: Transfer RNA (tRNA) molecules are approximately 80 nucleotides in length. The record is from RNAcentral. RNAcentral also lists the same sequence under 1 other name. Lineage: Bacteria; Bacillati; Bacillota; Clostridia; Peptostreptococcales; Caminicellaceae.